This is a long non-coding RNA of Salvelinus fontinalis (brook trout), 2989 nucleotides long. RefSeq lists it as uncharacterized. The transcript is spliced from 4 exons. The record is from RefSeq and is a predicted model, not a curated record. Lineage: Eukaryota; Metazoa; Chordata; Actinopteri; Salmoniformes; Salmonidae.
GGCACGAUUCCCACUUCACAAACAACUGCAUAUGUUCCUUAGUCAUCCUCUUUCAAUGGGAGCUUCAGACACAAACGACAAAACAAACGUGCCGUUAGGCUGACCGCAAUGGAAAAUCAUGUUCCUAUAGCAAUGAGCGCUGAUGAAUUGUACACUUACAUUUUGGUCACUUAGCAGAUACUCUUACCCACAGCGAUUUACAGUCAGCGCAUGCAACCAAGCUAAGUCCCCUCCUGUUCCCUAAUUAAGAGGUUAUGACUACUCCGCUCCACUACCAUUGUCAACUUUCUCCUGAUAUGAACUGAAGCCAUGACGUGUCAUGUGCCCGCUCAACCACUGGCACAUUGAACGUUUACCUUCCAAGCACUUCAAAUCCUGUCCUGCACUGGUCAAGCUUCUGAACGCCUCAUCUUAUGCCACAUACCCUCAUUCAAUCACUGUUGUGAUCCCUUUCCAACACUGUGUAAUUAGCCCUCUUCUUCCCCUUCCCCAUAAUAUUGUACUAUACAUGUCUUUACUAAAUGCUUCAGGUUAAAACAGUUCGUCUUUGAUGAAUUUUGAAACACAGCGGCACCUGAGACAGCGUUUUCCACCACCAUCAACAAAACACCAAAUUACGGAAUUUAUUGUGGAAGAAUGGUGUCGCAUCCCUCCGAUAGAGGGAGGGUGGCCCAACACCCUAUUAAUUAAGACACUUUAUGUUGGUGUUUAUUUUAUACCUGUAUAUAUUUCCUUUCUCUAAUCACCAUGACUAUUAUUCAUUUUGUUACUGUUAUUGUUGCCACUAUCGCACUUUGAUUUAGCAACAGUAGUUUUGCCAUUCAUGCAGAGAGAGAGAGAGAGAGAGAGAGAGAGAGAGAGAGAGAGAGAGAGAGAGAGAGAGAGAGAGAGAGAGAGAGAGAGACCACUUAUUUGGAUAGUCCCAAGUAGAUGGUGUGUGAUUAACUUUCAACAACAUUUCAACUAACUAUCUACUAACCUUAACCCCUUAUCCUAACCCUAAAUGUAACUGUUACCCUAACCUCAACCCUUACCCUUAUACUAACCCUAACCUCAGCAAGCUGUUGGAUAUCAAGAGAUAGUUUGUUGAUAGUUUGCCCAUCUGUAUGGGACUAAAUAAAGUCUGACUGAAAAAGAAAGGUGAGUUUGAAUUCUUACAAUUCAUCGUUCUAGUUCAACGGGACUGUAUCCGUUCACACAUAGGCGGAAAUCCCAGGGGGGACGGGGGGGACACGACCCCCCCAUCCUGGGGAAAAUAUGAUUUGUCCCCCCCAAUAUAUCACUGUAAACAUAACUAUGUAAUUUCAAUAAUAUUAAUAAUACGCAAUGAAAGCACUUGUGCUGAUUAUAGACACUUAAUAGCGCGUUUUUAAAUUUCACAAGAUUGCGACCCCCCCGCCCUUUGCCUCACAAUGGUUUGAUCCACUGCCAGUUCUUUAGCUGGCAAGGUAAUAGAGGGCUCGUAUCUACUGUCCGAAAGGCACUCAAUGUACGUAACUGUCGUGAGGUAAUCCAGUCAAUCGCGCCUUAGCAAUGUAUAUAUUUUUUUCAUGUUGCAGGGUUCACACACUAGCUGAAUUUGCAGAGCUAGCGCGCAAACUAAAGCAAACAUUAACUAUCAAGCUAGCUAGUACCUAUUCCAUUUAUGUUGCGUCGUCAAAGAUGGAAUAUUUGCUAUCGUCAGUGUAUUCCAAGAUUAGCAUGCAGCUGUAGUGCUUCAAAGUCCCUGUGAUAAGGUUAGCGAUAAACUGAAGUCCAAACUGAACAAAACUACACUCUCUUAUACCAUUGUCUUAAAUAUAUUUAAUGGUCUCGUUGCAAAAGCUAAAUUGUCGCUAGUGAAUUUUUUUUUUUUUUCACCUUUAACCAGGUAGCAAAGAUUAUAGCAAACACCACAGAAACGGAAUUGGUGCUCGCUAGCUUUGCAAAUUCAGCUAUUGUUGGAAGCCUGCCAAUAUGAAACAAACUAUGUUAAAAUUUCAAAACGUUGCAGCAUGUGUUGUGUAAAUGUGUGUGUGCAGCUAGACCGGUCAGCCAGCCAGCCAGGUAGAAAAAUGUCAGAAAAAAGUAAAAAGACGGACAUCAGAGUAUUUUUCAGUACACCAAAACGCAAAGUAAGAACUCUAGUAGCCUAAUAUCUACCUAAGACCAGUUGAUAAAAUGUUCAUAAGAAAGAAGUGAAAUGCUAAUGGAAAUAUUUCACAAUGAUGUCAUUAGGCAGAGCAGGCAACAGAUGGCACACAGACAGCAGAGCUGGGGACAGAUAUGCAGGGACAGACUGGCAGAGACAGGGAGUCUCAGGAGACAGACUGUGAGUCAGUGAGGGUGGUGAAAGGGAAAGAGCCAAGGAGAGAGACUUGAGGACAGUGUCACAGCCACGGCAGGACCAGGUGUCACCCUUGUUGCCAGCAGCACCAGUAUAGAGGACAGUGGCACAGCAUCGUCCAGUUACCUCAGUGAUGACACAAAACCAUAUCAGCCACACCCACAAUUUAUAGAACCGCAAACUCUUGCAAACGUUUCAAGAGAGAGGAACACUGCACUGAUAAGGAACAUUGCUAUAACUAUUAUUAGUAGUAGUAUUAUAAUGAUUUAAACAAGUUGGGACAACCCUUCAGUUAACUACUGUACCUAACAAUUAUCCAGUAGUAGUGAUUAUGGUCCCUCAAUAUACAUUUAACAUAUUACAACUUAGUCUAUGUGUUACAGCACUACUUUUGGUGUCCCCCUCAGGAAUUGCUCCUGAGAAAAUUUCAUGUAAUUGUCCCCUCCAAGGUUGAUAUCAGAUUUUCGCCCCUGCGUUCACAGUGACAUAUAUCAUACAUCAACCCACCUUCUGAUUAAAAUGCUGAUUUCUAAAACAUACAGUGCAACUUGAUUGAAUCAAGGGAUACGUGCAGCAUGAGACGAUCCGUGUUUAUAUGAGGUGCAAAACAAGAGAGAAGUCACAGAGAGAACCAAGAGACGUCAAAGAAACUGCUGUCCUGGA